AUACGGAGGCAGCAAGCGUUAUUCGGAAUCACUGGGCGUAAAGGACGCGUAGGCGGGUUUGUAAGUCAGGUGUGAAAUCCUACAGCUCAACUGUAGAACUGCACUUGAAACUACAGACCUAGAGUAUGGAAGGGGCAGAUGGAAUUAGUGGUGUAGGGGUAAAAUCCGUAGAUAUCACUAGGAAUACCGAAAGCGAAGGCGAUCUGCUGGGACAUUACUGACGCUGAGGCGUGAAAGCGUGGGGAGCAAACAGGAUUAGAUACCCCAGUAGUCC
RNAcentral lists this ribosomal RNA (274 nucleotides) under uncultured bacterium. Its description in RNAcentral is "partial 16S ribosomal RNA". It matches the Rfam family "Bacterial small subunit ribosomal RNA", at positions 523 to 796 of the family's 1533-position model. The record is from RNAcentral.